RNAcentral lists this ribosomal RNA (235 nucleotides) under uncultured bacterium. RNAcentral describes it as "partial 16S ribosomal RNA". It matches the Rfam family "Bacterial small subunit ribosomal RNA", at positions 99 to 334 of the family's 1533-position model. The record is from RNAcentral.
CGGACGGGUGAGUAACGCGUGGGUAACCUGCCUUAUACUGGGGGAUAACAGCCAGAAAUGACUGCUAAUACCGCAUAAGCGCACAGAACCGCAUGGUUCCGUGUGAAAAACUCCGGUGGUAUAAGAUGGACCCGCGUUGGAUUAGCUAGUUGGCAGGGCAGCGGCCUACCAAGGCGACGAUCGGUAGCCGGACUGAGAGGUUGAACGGCCACAUUGGGACUGAGACACGGCCCAG